CAGAGUAUAGUUUAAGAAAAAUUUUAGUUUUGGGGACUAAGGAUAAUAAUUUAUUUUCUCUGA
RNAcentral lists this transfer RNA (63 nucleotides) under Oecanthus rufescens. RNAcentral's name for it is "tRNA-Pro". The record is from RNAcentral. RNAcentral also lists the same sequence under 1 other name. Lineage: Eukaryota; Metazoa; Arthropoda; Insecta; Orthoptera; Gryllidae.